RNAcentral lists this ribosomal RNA (373 nucleotides) under uncultured bacterium. RNAcentral's name for it is "bacterial SSU rRNA". It matches the Rfam family "Bacterial small subunit ribosomal RNA", at positions 527 to 898 of the family's 1533-position model. The record is from RNAcentral.
GUAGGAGGCGAGCGUUAUCCGGAUUUACUGGGCGUAAAGCGCGUGUAGGCGGUUUGGUAAGUUGGAUGUGAAAUCUCCUGGCUCAACUGGGAGAGGUCGUUCAAUACUACCAGACUAGAGGACGGUAGAGGAAGGUAGAAUUCCCGGUGUAGUGGUGAAAUGCGUAGAUAUCGGGAGGAAUACCAGUGGCGAAGGCGGCCUUCUGGGCCGUUCCUGACGCUCAGACGCGAAAGCGUGGGUAGCGAACGGGAUUAGAAACCCCGGUAGUCCAUGCUGUAAACGAUGCGGACUUGGUGUUGGUGGCGUAAAAACCAUCAGUGCCGAAGCUAACGCGUUAAGUCCGCCGCCUGGGGACUACGGUCGCAAGAUUAAA